RNAcentral lists this non-coding RNA (108 nucleotides) under Flexistipes sinusarabici. RNAcentral's name for it is "SAM-I sequence". It matches the Rfam family "SAM riboswitch aptamer (S box leader)". Rfam says of the family: The SAM riboswitch is found upstream of a number of genes which code for proteins involved in methionine or cysteine biosynthesis in Gram-positive bacteria. The SAM riboswitch acts at the level of transcription termination control. RNAcentral also lists the same sequence under 1 other name. Lineage: Bacteria; Pseudomonadati; Deferribacterota; Deferribacteres; Deferribacterales; Flexistipitaceae. The record is from RNAcentral.
CUCUUAUCAAGAGUGGCUGAGGGAACGGGCCCUGAGAAGCCACAGCAACCGGUCUGCCGACGGGCAGAUGCAGGUGCUACUUCCCGCCCUUAACGGGGCAGAUAAGAG